Molecule: unclassified non-coding RNA, 375 nt
Filed under: soil metagenome
Description: partial contains 5.8S ribosomal RNA, internal transcribed spacer 2, and large subunit ribosomal RNA
Rfam family: 5.8S ribosomal RNA (bases 1-120)
Source: RNAcentral
GAUGAAGAAUACAGUGAAAUGCGAUAAGUAAUGUGAAUUGCAGAAUUCAGUGAAUCAUCGAAUCUUUGAACGCACAUUGCGCCCGCCAGUAUUCUGGCGGGCAUGCCUGUUCGAGCGUCAUUUCAACCCUCAAGACCCCUUCGGGGGACUUGGUGUUGGGGACCGGCACAGGGGCCUGCCUGCUUGUCUUGCAGCGCCCUCGCCGCCCCCGAAAUGAAUUGGCGGCCUCGUCGCGGCCUCCCCUGCGUAGUAGCACAAACCUCGCAACGGGAACGUGACGGCGGCCACUGCCGUAAAACAACCCAAUUUUAUUAGAGUUGACCUCGAAUCAGGUAGGAAUACCCGCUGAACUUAAGCAUAUCAAUAAGCGGAGGA